CCAGUGCUGAUGGGAUCUAAAUUCUUUUCUUGUUUUUCCUUUUAGUCAUUGAAAGCAGCUAUCAGGAGGGAAGAAGUUCAAACACAGGGAUAAGGACUCCUGGUGCUCCGGUGGACAGUGUGGAGCUGGUGAUGAUGCUGGCUGGGAGCAGGGAAUGGGCAUCACUUCCUGCCAAACACGGAGCGGUGCCAGCGGGGAGCAAGGUCAUGGGGCACAUUGGUCCUCUGGCUGGCAAUGGGGAUGUCACCCCACCGGGAGCAGGACCCCCAGACAACCCAUCUGCUGGGACAGCAACCCACCUGCCCACCCACAGCCAUCCUCCUGAUGCUGGAAGCCAUCACCAUGCUGUAGGCAGCCAGGAGAGAGGCAAGAGGGCUCUGGAUUUUCCCAACAGCCCUGCAGCUUCUGAAAGGACACCACCAGGCUUGGAAACCGUCAGCACUGAUUCGGCUGAGGGGACAAAGGGUGGGCACCGUGGGGUCUGGAACAUGUUGGGGUUUAACAACACAAUGAGGACAGUGCUGCUCCCUUCAUCUUCAGAAUCUCAUCACCCAGGCACUGACAGCCCCUCUCGACUGGUGAGCAGCUGGGUGGGCACAGAACUGUCCAGCAGCUCCCCCGUGGACACUGCAGCCACUUCACCCAGCCCCUCCAGGAGCAGUGGGGGAACCAGCCUCGGCACUGCCCUCCGUGGCUCCCUGAGACAGCCCCAAUCCUCCCCCCGAGCUUCAAGUACCCAGACUGGUGCAGACCAGGUCUUGCUACACCUCAGGGGUGUCACAGGGAACUCCACAAGCCCUUUGCUCACAGCAUCGCCUGCCACUGACAGCGCUUUCAGAGCUGUUGGGAGCAGCGCCAGGGCUGCAGAAAAGAAGAGAUCUGGUAUCCAAAGGACAGCACCUGGCUUCACAGCUCAGCCCCUGGCCUCUGUGCCCUCCUCAGUGGCCCUGGCACAGGGACGUUUCCCUGGGCCUUCCACAGAGCACCAACUUGUCCCUUCUCUCCCAGCUUUGGAAAGCACUGCCACAGCCGUUGGAAGCAGCUACCAGCCAUCCAGCAACUCAGCCACGGAGAGGAGAGCUUCGGAUUUCCCUGCCACCAGUACCUCCAUUUCCACAACAGCCACCAAGGGUGGAGGGAGGACGUUAAGGUCUCUGCCAGCCAGCACUGGGCUGGUCAGUGUGGCAGAGAUUUCCACCUCUGGCACUGAAAUCAUCAGCUCUUCAGCCCAGACCCCUGGGAUGUCUAUGGGUGCCCAGGACGGUGAUGGCAGAGGUUUCACAGACCCCUUGCUCACAGGCUUGCCACCUGCUUCACAAAACACUUCCACAACCUUUAGCAGCAGUUACAAACCCAAGAGUGUCCCAGCUGCAGAAGAGGCGACGCUGCACUCAGGCACACGUGGUGCUGACGUGCCCAGCGUGGCAGUGGGGACUGCAAAUGGCCACAUAGCUGGGCUGACAAGAGGCUCUGCCACCAGCACCGGCCCCACAAGCUCUUUGGGGGUGACCUCCUCCUCCUUAGGGACUGGGACACAUCGUCCCAACAGCUCACGGGAAGCUACUGAUCUCCCAGCUCCUCCCAGGGAUCCUUUGCUCACAAGCUCUGAAAGCACGUCCAGAGGUAAAUCUGUCAGUCUGAAAGCUGUCUGCCUUGGGGCUGGAUGAGACUUCACAUCCCUGCUCUGUUUUUCUUUGGACACAGCCAUUAGUCACUAUUGGAUACAUGGAU
Long non-coding RNA from Manacus vitellinus (golden-collared manakin), 1731 nucleotides. The record is from Ensembl. NCBI's taxonomy places the organism in Eukaryota, Metazoa, Chordata, Aves, Passeriformes, Pipridae.